CAAAGCAGGCGUGUAAAAGGCUUAAGUACUCUACACAACGAAUUGGACCACAAUUUCCUUUCAAUUUCAACUUCAAUUUGAAUUCCCCAAAUCAAACCUCCAAAAUCCCCAAGGUAUUUUUCUCUGUUUUUCUUUUUGUUCAUGUGUCAAUUUCAGUCUGAGAAAAAUUCAAUUCUCACACACAACAACCAUGUCCUCACCAUCACCAUCGCCAUCGCCGGAAAAGCUCUCUCUCCUCUCUCCGACGCGGUGGUCACGGUCGGUGACGGAGACAGUGAACGCCUCUCACAAGCUGGUGAUCAGAGGCUACUCUCUCGCCAAAGGCAUGGGAGUCGGAAAACACAUCGCCAGCGACACAUUCACCGUCGGAGGGUACCAAUGGGCCAUCUACUUCUACCCUGAUGGCAAGAACCCUGAGGACAAUUCAAUGUACGUCUCUGUUUUCAUCGCUCUCGCUAGCCAUGGCACCAAUGUUCGAGCUUUGUUUGAAUUGACUCUUCUUGAUCAGAGCGGUAAGGGCAAUCACAAGGUUCAUAGCCAUUUCGAUCGAUCUCUUGAGAGUGGACCUUAUACUCUCAAGUACAGAGGCAGUAUGUGGGGGUAUAAGCGGUUCUUCAGACGGGCUAUGCUUGAGACAUCGGAUUUCCUGAAGGAUGAUUGCUUGAAAAUAAAUUGCACUGUUGGUGUUGUGGUUUCAGCUAUAGAUUGUUCGAGAUUAAACUUGAUACAGAUCCCUGAUUCUGAUAUUGGAGCACAUUUUGGAAUGUUGUUGGAGAAUGAGGAAGGUUCAGAUGUUAUUUUUGUGGUAGCUGGAGAAAAGUUUCAUGCUCAUAAGCUGGUAUUGGUUGCUCGAUCUCCUGUAUUCCAAACAGAACUUUUAAAUGUAAAAGAAGAAGAUUGUCAUGAAAUUGUUGUUGAAAACAUAGAGCCUAUGGUUUUUAAGGCUGUGUUGCAUUUUAUAUACAGAGAUUCUCUGAUUGACAAUGAAGAGUUGGUAGUGUCAAGUUCAUCUUGCAUUCCAUCUGUAUCUGACACAUUUGUUGUGAAGUUGCUAGCUGCAGCAGACAGAUAUGAUUUGGCUCGACUUAGACUGUUGUGUCAAUCCUUACUCUGCAAGGAUAUAUCAGUAGAUAGUGUUGCCAAUAUUUUGGCCCUGGCCGACCGCUAUCAUGCUUUGGAUUUAAAAGAAGUUUGCCUAAAAUUUGCUGCUGAAAAUCUUAUAGCUGUAAUGUGCUCAGAUGGUUUCAAAUAUCUGAAAGAAAAUUACCCGCUGCUGCAAUCAGAGCUCCUGAAGACAGUGGCCGGAUGUGAUGAGGAAGAAUUUAGCGGUGAUGGUGGGAAGACAAGAAGUGCGUGGGCCCAGUUUUGUGAUGGUGAUGAUCCUAAUGAUGGUAGCAUAGGGCAGCAAACAUGAGAAUGCAAAACCGAGUGUGGAAGUUCAAAGCUUGCGGAUCCAGCUUUUUCCGGGUGCUGCUGUAUGCUACACAGGGCCGGAUUGGUCUGGGAAAGGAGAGGAGAGGAGUCAUCGGCCCUGACUGGGCUGGGACCGGAAAGGAGAGGAGGGGAGGUAGGUGCAAUGCAAAUUGCCUUUGAAAUCUAACAUUAGGUGAAUUUGUCGAGGGAAAAGAAAAAAGAAAAAAUAUAUAUAUAUGUUAUGGUAGGAAAUGAGGAGAAAAUAAUAGAUGUAUGUCAAAAUAUUCCGUCCAUUUAAACACCUAAACGAUCUUAUUUUCUUUUCA
Camellia sinensis is the source of this 1739-nucleotide non-coding RNA. Lineage: Eukaryota; Viridiplantae; Streptophyta; Magnoliopsida; Ericales; Theaceae. The record is from RefSeq and is a predicted model, not a curated record.